CUGGCCAUUGAGUGUGAGUGGGAAUCCCUGAGCAUGUUUCUUUCCUAACAAAUUUUAAUGAGUCUGAGGGAAUCAAAUAUUCAAAUGUGCAUGUGAUCCCCAUCCACCAGGAAUGGUGAGUGCGAGGUGUUACUACACAUGAUAUUUUGUAGAAAAAAAAAAUGUCAAUUGUGUUUUGUGAUAAAAGUUUCUUGUCCUUCUUGGAUCAAUCAAAAUGCCAAAUAUCUCUUCACAUGAAAGGCCAAAAUGUUUUACUUGGUAAGAGUAAAUCAUGAGAUAUUAUACACCUAUCAAAACAAAGAAUCACAAGGAUGGACCUCCACCAUUUUCUUUGAAAGCUUUCCUUAACAUCUAAAUGAUGAUGGCAUUUGAACUUACUGCCAACAGGCAGUUCCAGGUUGUUCCAUUCUCUCGGUCUCCUUGGGCUAUAUAUAUGGUUUGUGGUGUAAGCUUCUGUCAUGGGAGAAUAGUUCUGGAAGGCCUGCAAUGUGUAAAGGCUAGCUGGGUAGGCCAUGUAUGUCUUCAUUUCUUCUUGUCAUUUGGUCAGGUGUGCCUUGUCCUUCUUAACUGGCCAAAUGAAUGUGUUUGGUAAUGUUGUUUAAGUUAGCUCGUUGUUGUUGUUGUUGAUGAAGACGACAAUGAUGCUGUUGCUGCUUGUAUUGUCAGGUUUCGGUCUUCCACAACCGAAACAUAUGGUAUAUCAAGAGAGAAGAAGCAACUUCACCAUUGUUUUAGAUGAAACAAACCAUAGUUUAAUUAAUUAUCCUUUAAUUAAACAAAAAAGAGGAACAUUUCAUAUUUUAUUUUCUCUAUUUUCUUUCUUUUCUUCAUAGAGAUACAAAUUGGGGAUUGCAAAUCAACCAUUUAAUUGAAGCAUGACAAAUGUGGCUAAUGAGUUCUGUACUGCCACAAGGUAGAGAAAGAAAGGCUUGAUCGGUAUGUUAGUUUCACACCAUUUAAAAAUGGUGGUGACUCUUCCGAUGUACAUAAGACAGUUGUAUUGCAAUCCGGACCAUGCAAAUCAAUGAUGUAACUGUGGAUGGAUAAUAACAAAACCAUGGCGCCGAUGAGAUGGUAAACCAUCUUAUUUUUCA
Long non-coding RNA from Magnolia sinica, 1094 nucleotides. RefSeq lists it as uncharacterized. Lineage: Eukaryota; Viridiplantae; Streptophyta; Magnoliopsida; Magnoliales; Magnoliaceae. The record is from RefSeq and is a predicted model, not a curated record. The transcript is spliced from 2 exons.